AAUUUGGCAUGAUAAAUGUACAAUAUUCAUUAAGAGGCCUAGUUGUCUUAUUGAUGUAGCUAAGUUUAUCUUUCUAUCAAAUGAAACAGGUAGUGUACUAUCUGUUUUUUCAAAAAUAAAUGUGCAAUGUUAUCUCUUCGACUAAAAGGCAUAAAAUUUACGUCAUGUUUCAGAGUGUACAGAUAACAUUGCUCGUUGAGCAAUUUUAGAUGUA
Molecule: long non-coding RNA, 214 nt
Filed under: Ananas comosus (pineapple)
Lineage: Eukaryota; Viridiplantae; Streptophyta; Magnoliopsida; Poales; Bromeliaceae
Description: long non-coding RNA (ACOM_LNC006444)
Source: RNAcentral